AUUUCCAGACGCUCUCAAGUCCCCAAGAAGUUUUCCGCUCUAUCCCCGAGCUGACCGAGCGAUGGAAAAGGGGCUGACUGGCCCUGGCACUUCCGAGGUGCGACCUCAGCAAGACAAGUCCCCUCUUCACCAGAGACGACACGGCGGCAGGUGCAGCAACUUUCACCCCGCCUGGCAGCCCGCUGAGAGCGAGAGAAAACCACGUGCACCAAACUUUAGGGGAGGAAAAAUGGGAACGUGGGGAGAAGACGUGAGGCGGCAGAUCUGAAAAAGAUGGUCAUUCCGGACUCCUGACGCCGCCAGUCCCGCGGUGAGACGUGAGCGCCAUUGGCGUCCGUGGCCUCUGUUUCCGUGGCAACCUAGUAACCAUUAAUUUUCAAUUAAAGGAGACAAAAAGCUCGAUGACAGCUCCAGGUCUGCUGAAGAUGUCAAGAAUCUGUAUUAAUAUACAGCAAGAGAGCAUAAUUGUGUGUCCAUCUUCCAGAGCAGCGAAAAAUGGAGGGAUAAUUACCAGCUCGAAAGCCACUCUGUAAUUUAGUUCUUACUGUCACCACAGCCCUACACAUUAGCAUAAAUUAAAAGCAGAGUUUAUUGUUAUCAAAGUGCAUUGAUAUCGCCAGACCUGCUUUCUUCCUUUUAACUGUUUGUUGUGGGUGAGUGACUCCCCAACUCUUGCCAGGGUCUCCCCAGGGUGGGGAGAGUGGAAGUGUGGCUGCUAGACCUGAAAGGUCUAGCUGCCAGCCUCCUUCAGGGCAGGUGGGGACAAGGGUCAGCGUGUUGCCCCUCUGAUAGGGUCUGGGGAUGAUGCAGGGGAUGGAGGAGGCUUGGAUAUUUAUUCACCUUUCACAUGUAAGUGCUUUGUUUUGCCAACGAGUGCUCCAGCUCUUUGCAGAGGGGGCUGCUGCCCCAUCGCGGGUCCCCCUUUAGUGCCUAGUACAGUGCAGGGCAGGUGAUGAGUGCUCUAAGGCAAUGUGUUAAACAAAGGAAUGAGUGCAUGUGUAGGGGUGUUCUCCCGGGGUGAAUGUCAGUGGAGAGACAUUGCAUUCCCUGUUCAGGGCGUGGCCAGCUCAGGUGGAGAUGCUCCUGUCUGUGGCCCAGUUCCUGCUUGGCCACCCAGGACCCCAGCUCCCCAGAGGGGUCCCUCUGGACCCCACGCCCCUAAUCUUGCCGCUUGGCCACCCACCUCCAUGGCCUGGGUGCUGCCACGGCCACCGCCUUCAUACUCACCUCCGAGUGGUUGGAGAACCUCGAAGUGUCUCGCUGCCAGAGUACCAGUGACAGCCACAGAAAUCAUGAGUUUCCGUGAAUGGGGGAUGCGGAGUUUUCUUGUAUUCUAUCCAGAGAGAGCUGUCCUUCAGAGGGGAAUUUAGUGUAAUUACCCUUAAGGGAGCGAUCCUUACACAGUCAGUCACAACACUGACCUCCUGGCUGAGAUUUGACAGCAAAAUUGCAGGCUGUGUACUCAACAGAAGGGGCAUCCUCCUUUUUUGGGUGUUGAGGGGGGAGGCGGGAAGGAAGGAGGAGGAGGGAAAGGAGACUCAGAGGCUUUGAAAAGAAAAGUGCUGGCUUACAGCUGCCAGGCAAGCGGGUUCUCCUUGGCAAGGCGUCUACAGGGCAAGGAGAAGGUGUCCAGAGAUCCCCUGGAACUUCACCUGGCUCAUGAAGAGGGGCCAAGGUAGGCACUCCAGCCCUUCAGAUCUUUGAGCUCUGGUUUGUGAUCUUAGCUAAAGUUAAUCUUAUUGUAAGAAGGAUUUGGAGGGUACUAGGCACUAUUUGAUGAACUUCUCAGGCAUGUUUUCCCAAACAUAUCUGUCCUCGGUCCCUCCCCGGUGCUAGAAGUUCCACUGUUCCUUUUACCUUUAAGUUGACAGAUCCAAGACCCUGUAAACCUGCAUCUGGGUUACCUGGAAGGACUAAUGUGUUAAUCUGUGACCACUCCAAAUUUAGCAUGGAUGCAUCUCUCAGAUGUGCUGGCCCAUCACAUGACUGAAGCCAAAGGACACAGGGGUCAGGCAAAUUUCCGUGAAGGAUUGGAAAAAAUCUGUUGUAUGGGUAGAUCUUGAUGGACUGUGAAGCCUGGCAAGGAAUGGAGGUAAAUCCCCAAAUCUCAAAGCUGGAAGGGAUCCCAGAAGCCAACGGGUCCAAACUUCGCAGAGAAGGAGUCCCCACCUCUCUGUUCUACCUCUACCCAAAACUCAGGGCUGGGCGCGGUGACUCACGCCUGUAAUCCCAGCACUUUGGGAGGCCAAGGCAGGCAGAUCACCUGAGGUUAGGAGUUUGAGACCAGCCUGGCCAACAUGGCAAAACCCCGUCUCUACUAAAAAUACAAAAAUUAGCCAGGCAUGGUGGCACGCGCCUGUAAUCCCAGCUACUUGAGAGGCUGAGACAGAAGAAUCACUUGAACCUGGGAGGUGGAGGUUGCAGUGAGCCAAGAUAGUGCCAUUGCACUCCAGCCUGGGUGACAAGAGUGAAAUUCUGUCUCAAAACAAAAAACAAACAAAAAACAAAACAAAACAAAAAACAACUCAGCCACCUCUGCCCACACAAUUCCUAAUAGCACGAGCUAGCUGUCUCUAUAGAGGUCCAUCCUGCUGUUAAAUAGCCCGGACCAUUGCCAAAUUCCUCCUGAGUGCAAAUGAAAAUCUGUGUCCGUGAAACUUCUUCCUUCCUUUUGGAGCCCCUUUGGAACAAAUCUAGGCUUUCUCUGGCGGGACAGCCCUUCAGCUACGUGGGGACCAUGCUCAGCUAUUAGUCGUCUUCUCCUCCAAGUCUGGGACCCAGUAGACUCAUCACCAUCUGGCUCAUCCUUUCAGGAAAGUGCCCAAAAGGAGUCUGAAAGGGCACAGGACAGCCCAAAAUGCAAAUCCAAUGUUUAUUGAGCAUCUGCUAUGUUCCAGGCAGAAACACCCACCAUAUCUCUUUUCUUUUUUUUCUUUUUUUGGAGACGGAGUCUCGCUCUGUCACCCAGGCUGGAGUGCAGUGGCACGAUCUCAGCUCACUGCAGCCUCCACCUCCCAGGUUCAAACAAUUCUCCUGCCUCAGCCUCCCAAAUAGCUGGGACUACAGGCUCAUGCCGCCAUGCUCAGCUAAUUUUUUGUAUUUUAGUAGAGAUGGGAUUUCACUGUGUUGCCCAGGCUGGUCUCAAACUCCUGAGCUUAGGCAACCCGCCCGCCUCGGCCUCCCAAAGUGCUGGGAUUACAGGUGUGCACCACUGCGCCUGGCCCCAUAUCUCUUUUCAUCCUCUCAACCAAUUCAAUGAAGGGAGGAUAUAUUAUUCCCAUUUUACCGUAGAGAAAAGAAGGACGCAAGAAGCUUCAAAUCACUUGCCCCAAAUCACCUGCCAGCAAGGGGCAGAGCCAGAACUGGGAGCCCAGACUCCUGACCCAGGCCAAAGACUUUCCUUGAGAAUCCAGCUGCGUUGGUCCCUACACCCCUUGGCCACCACUGGGUUUGGGGAAUGAGCUCUGCCAUCAUUCUCCUGUCUCUCUACCUCCAUGAUGCUUUUCUGCAGGGCCUUUCUCUCCACUUGGCAGGGAGAAGGAAUUCCAGGGAAAACCCAGCUUAAGUCCUGCAUCCUCCCUGAAGGCUUCCCUGCCCAUCCCAGGCCUCAGUAACUGCUUCAGUAUAAUGACAACAUUGGACGUUAUUUACUGACCACAGGACUAUGCUUCAGCACCUACCCUAAGGUAUUUUAUUCAAUCCUCCAGGCUUUUGCCCUGGCUGAGGGUUCUGCCUGAGCUUCUCUCCCCUCAGAUACCUGCAUCUCCUUGAAGGACCACCUUCUCUGGGAGGUCCAACCUAACCAUCCUUUCCCAGGUCUUUGUACCCGCUUUAUUUCUUUCUAUAGCUCAUGUCACCUUCCGAAGAGUAUUUAAUUUACUGAUUAUUGUGCUCAUUGCCUAUCUUCCUCCUCUUUAAGUUCCAAAAGGACAGAGGCUGUAUUUUGUUUACUGUUGCAUCCCAAGCACCUAGAACAGUGCCUGACAUACGGUAGGUGUACAAGCGAUAUCUGUCAAAUGACAGGAGGAAAACUCAAAACCCUUUGAGGCAGGUGUGUUGUUUUCACAGCAGAGAGGAACUAGGGCUCUAGUUCUGGGUUAGGUGGCUUGUCCAAGGUCACAGAGCUGGCCAUACCCAGCUGUGUAUUGGGCUGCUGAGUAUGAGGCUGUUUGGGGUGGGCCUUGAGCCUGAGCCUGUUCUGAGCUUUGUGUGUGUGUGUGUGUGUGUGUGUGUGUGUGUUUGGUGGCUUCCUAGGGGAUUUCUGCCUGCAUUCCAACCAGCAGGUCCUUCCAGGCACCCCUCCCCUCCUUUACAGGGCUUCUUCCCUUCCUGCAGCUCCUUUCAGCCCCUGCUUUCUUGCCCCAAGCCUGGAGAGGCCUGUGAGUGCAGUCCAGCUAACUUCCCUCCCCUGAGCUCAUGGGUCCCUGCCUGGGCUGAAGUCCACACCGGGAGCCCAAGGUGCCCCUGGAAGGCCCCCACCCUGGCCUCCGAGUGGUUCCUCUCCCCAGAGAUGUAAAUCCGGGCCCCAGAGUGGCCACACAGAACAUACAUCUUAAACAAACACUUCUCCUUGCUGUUUAUCUCCCUGGCCUUUAAACAAACUCUUUCAAAGGUUUCUGCUGAUAGGAGAGAUUUACUGAAAACCAUUCCUUGCUUAAAAGCCCUGGGUUUAUGCUGCUGGGGUGGGGGCAGUGGGGCCUUCAGGCCUGGGGUUUCUCUGCCUCCGGACCACAUGUUUAUCCUCCAGGCCUUGAUAGAGGAGCAACACAGACUAAUCUUUAUGGAAAAGAAAAUAAUAAAAGCAGGAAAGGGGAGGGGUGGAGGCUGGGGUGCGUUUGGUUCUUGUCACUGACUCCAAGAGGUUGUGGCAGGUCCGGGUGUGGCAGUGCCCACCACACUGUAGCCCUGCCUGUUGGGGGUGGGGUGAGCUGAGCAUCUGGGAGGGGUGGGGCUCCCUUGAACUUUGGACAGAAGGCCUUUGGGCAGGUGAGCCUCUUCUCCGGCUUCCAGAGGCCAGAGUGGGCCUCUCCCUGCUGGAUGGGGGUUGGAGGGAGGGCAGCAGUCACAUGAUCAUGUCUAUUCCUGCAUCAACCAACAGUCAGAAGGCACCUAGCCUGUGCCAGGACCUGGGGGUGGAGAGAGGAAUAGUUGUUAACAAUUACUUUAGCAUUUCUGUGGGCCUGGUACUGUUCUAAAUCGCUUACAUGAAUCAACUCAUUUAAUGGCCCCAGUAGAUUCUAUAAUUAUCCCAAUUUUGCAUAUGGGGAAACCAAGUCACAGAAAGAUUACUGGCUGUACUCCAGAGGUUUUGGUUUAACUGGGAUGCAGGCUGGGCAUUGGAUUCCAGGAUGCAUCCCAAGUGGAAAAAGAUUGACAUUCCCAUUUCCCACCCACUCCCCACUUGUCCUUCCAAUAAUACAGUAUCUCUUCCAUUUCAAGGCGUCUCACAAUUCAUUGACAGUGGUAUUUUUUUCUUAGUGGAUCGUAAAAUAAUGGUGCAUCUUACAGUCUUAGGUUCAACAAAAUAUAGUAAUAGAAAACUAACCUCUACCAACUGUGGGGACUGAGCUGGAUGAUUUGCAUCCAUUAUCUCAUUUAAUCCACCUCCCAAAGCUGCAACAUAGGUCACAGGAGCACCUCUGAUGAGAAAACUGAGGCACCAAGAAUUCAAUAACCUGCCCAAGAUCACCCAGCUGGUGGGAGGUGGAGGCAGGAUUUGAACCCACAGUUAAAUGGCCUAAUAUUUAUCCCCAACCCUUAUAGAGCACCUUAUAUGAUUCAAACUGUCUUCCGACCUGUUUUGUCCAUUGAGGAAGACGCUGAAAUCCAGAAAGUUUAAGUGACCUGCUCUAAGUUACACAUCUGACUUCUCAACCUAUAACUGUGGGAGAACCAUGGGAAGUGGGUUUCGUUGUUAUUAUUGUUGUUUGCUUGUCUUAAGCCUACCUGGGCUUUUAUAGCUAGAAGCCACUCCUAAGAGAACAUGACCAGGAAAGUGGGCCAGGGCCAGGGCAGGGGCCCCUGAGAGUAUGGGCCAUCCUGGGGUCUUGGGUGCUGAAGGUUGGAGCCAAGGCCUGUCGUGGGACCUCCCAAGGGCAGAGGACUUGAGCAGGGGCAGAUGUCAUUGCAAAGACUCCACUGACUUCCGUCUCUGUUUUGUUUGUGAAGCGAAGUUGCUGCAGUGGCAGGUGGGGAGGCAGCAGAAGGCCAGGUAGGAAUUUCCAGUCCUUCCCUGGGCCCAUAGCUCAGGCCGGAAGCCACUCCCUUCCUCCAUGUUUACAUGCAGCGGGCCACACCCCUUCAGAUGGCACAGACUGACACCCCCUUCCGGUCCCCCUGCUCCAGGCCAAAUACUUUUUCACUCACGUUAAAGCACCUUUCAGCACCUGGGCCCUGAGCUGGGGAGCAUUUCCAGGGAGGAAAGAAGGGAGAGGGUAUGAGGAGGAGGCUGGGGGUGGGUUGAGGGAAGGUGAGGAGCUGGGGGUAGUGGAGACUAGGAUGAAGUUAUGUGAGUGAUUGUCUUGCACCCAUCAUCUUUCUUUUUGUAUUAUUCUUUCCUUAUAUAGUGACAUCCAGUUUCCAAAACCUUUCCUUCCUCCUAGCAACUCUUACCCUAAGAUACUUAAUUCACACCAAGGUAAACACGACUAAUAACAGCUUCCAAAGUGAUCCUUUCAAGGGCAUUUUGGCAGUGGCCUCUUUAUUUGUUCAUUCAUUCUUUGAUUUCCUCAACAAUUUCCUUUGGCAUUCCUGGAGACCCUCCAUCCUAUCUCGAAGGCUUAGCUGGGACACCUCUAAGCUGUUUGGUGGGCUGCUGUCCAAACUCUGGGCUUUGUGGGUAGUGGCAUCCACACCCUCUGACAGCAUGUAGGUAUAUUGGCAGCAACCCAAGCUGUCUUUUUUGCACCUUCAAUGGAAGGAAAGGCAAUUUCUCCUCAUGAAAAAAGUUUGGGAGACUUUACCUAAAUGUAAAGGGAGGUGCUUUAAUGAUAUAUCUCCAGGAAUCAAACCCAUCAGUCCAUCUGAGUUUGGUCAUGGGCUGAGCUCCCCAGGGCAGCUGGGCAGGAGCCCUUCCAGGACAUCAGAACUUGGGGUAGAAUUUCCACCCCACUGGCCCUCAGGGCUCUGCAUAGAUUUCUCUCUCUGUCCUUCUUGGUAGGGAAGUGGCUGAUCAUGAGGAAGACCCUGAGCUCAGAGCUGGAAGAUAUCCAGGGACCCAUCCACCCAGUAGUUUGCAGAGGACAAAAUGACUCAAAAGUAUACCGAAAUCCAAAAUAUAAAACAGCUAAGAGUUAAAGCUCCAGUUGAAGGCAAAGGUCUAGACCCUGCCUCCUCUGCUCUCCCACUUGGCCCAUAAGUGGUCCAAAGCUUCUCUGUGGACCUCCAAAGCUCAGGAGAACACGAAUAGAAUCCACUGAGCCAGUCUAGUGAUCCAUUUUAUAGACAAAGAAACUGAGUCAGAGCAUGAUGGGAUGGAUGUGAGUCCUUAGGGGCCUCCACCCUUCCAUGAUCACUUCUGGCUCAUGUUCAUUCCCUGGACUCAUAAUGUACCCUUCUUUCUAACUUGACCUGCACAAUUCUACGGACUCUUCAGGCUCAGCUCAAAUGUCACCCUCCACCAUGGAGCGUUCCUCAAUUCUCUCCUCCAGUUCUGGCCCUACUCCCACCCAGUUCGGUGUUCCUGGAGCUCACUGCUUUUGCAUCUCUCUUAAGUUCAACCUCUCAUUUCUGCCCAUUUGAAGCAGCUCUUUUCUCCCUUGUCAGGCUGUUGGUCUCCUUGAGGUCAGGAGGUUUUUAAAAAAUCCCAAGCCUCCAGCCCAUGAGUAGGUGUGCAAUCACAGUGAGGCUGCUGACAUGUUUUCUUGGGUGAUGGUGAGAUGCUUUGCCCACUGGGGUCAGGGUCUCCCUACUGGACGGCCCUAGUUCUCAUCAAUUUGGUGGGGAGGGCAUAGAGUUUGAUUAAACAGUUACUUGGAUACCUGAAGUAGGGCAGGGAAGGGGAUACAGAACCUUCAGAGCCUGGGGAGGAGGGACCCUUCUGCUCUAAAUUGUCCACUCGCUCCAUCCUCAAGAAGAUGGAGAGCAGAAACAGGGGCAGGGGAAGAGAGCUGGGCCCCGCACACUUCCCACCAUCACUGAUUUCCCUCUUCUCUGGCAUUUUAAGAGCUCAGACUCAAACCCUUCAAGGGCUUUUGAAACAAUUAGAUUUGAAAGUGCCCAGUGCUUGGUCUAAUUGCUUAAAAGCCACUUCAGGCUUCAACUGACCCAGAGUAAAGCCUGGGGGGUGGGUAGAGGGGAGGGGAGACCCGAGACACUCUGUCGCCCUGUUUCCCAGGCCUUCCUGGACAACCAAGGCCUAGGUGAGUGGUGAUGCCAAAUAAGGGCCUUCAACUUUUCCCGGGGGGGCAGAGCCACCAUACUCUUCCUGCCCCUUUCCCAGCCCUUGCCCCCAGGGAACCGCUCACAUCUAACCUUUCUCUAAGAUACCUUCUCACGCAAAUUCCAGCAUUCCUAGGGGUGAUUGGAGCACUUAUGUCCAGAACCAAUUUUCAGUGUCAAAAAGUGGACUGAGCCAGUGUAAAGAGGCCGAGAAGUAUCAGGAGACAAGCCUUGGUGUGUCCAACUCAAGAUGAUGCUUUGCUUCUGGGAUAUUCUGAGAUUGGGGAUUUUGCAAUCUCUAAGUCAGUUCCAUCUCUCCAUGCUUUCGUGAUUACUCUUCUCCCAAGUUCUUUUUUUUUUUUUUUUGAGACAGAGUCUUGCUCUGUCACCCAGGCUGGAGUGCAGUGGCGCGAUCUCGGCUCACUGCAAGCUCCGCCUCCCAGGUUCACACCAUUCUCCUGCCUCAGCCUCCCGAGUAGCUGGGACUACAGGCACCCGCCACCAGGCCCAGCUAAUUUUUUUGUAUUUUUAGUAGAGACGGGGUUUCACCAUGUUAGCCAGGAUGGUCUCGAUCUCCUGACCUUGUGAUCUGCCCGUCUUGGCCUCCCAAAGUGCUGGGAUUACAGGUGUGAGCCACCGCA
Molecule: long non-coding RNA, 9020 nt
Filed under: Homo sapiens (human)
Lineage: Eukaryota; Metazoa; Chordata; Mammalia; Primates; Hominidae
Description: non-protein coding FOXP4-AS1:9
Source: RNAcentral